Molecule: unclassified non-coding RNA, 561 nt
Filed under: Hevea brasiliensis (rubber tree)
Lineage: Eukaryota; Viridiplantae; Streptophyta; Magnoliopsida; Malpighiales; Euphorbiaceae
Source: RNAcentral
CUAAUGCUUUUGACCUCUGAUUGAUCAUUUUCCCAAGUUCUUGUAUUAGUGAAUGAAAGCCCAAGGGGUCAAUUGAUCCACUUGAACCUUUAUUUAUUUCAUCGUCCCUAUCCAAUCCUAGAGUAAAUGGACACCAGUCCUCUUCAACUUCAACAGGUUCAUUGAGAAUGGUUGGUGGCAGACAUGAUGCUUGCUCCUCCAUUUUGGGCAAGCACAGCCUAGGAAAUCGCUUGUCCAACUCAUUUAGAAGUUGAUAACUUCCCAUUAUUAGCUCAAGUGAAGUCUCUUCCUUCAAAAUUUGGAAAAUCGCUUCACGCAUCGUGCUAGUAGGCGGUGUUCUAUUUUCUGGUAGCAAUGAAGCAGAGCGAACAGCUUCUAGAAAAGCAAGACUAUCGUCGUGGCGGUGGUGAGAAUCUCUAUUGAAACCAGAAGUAUCGAGAAUUGCCAUUGUGUUCUCUUCGAUUCCUCCAUUGUUGCUUCCUCCUCCCUUUCGCUUUUCCAUGUUGCUUCCUCCUCCCUUUCGCUUUUCCAUGUUGCUUCCUCCUCCCUUUCGCUUUUCCA